AGAGUUUGAUCAUGGCUCAGAAUCAACGCUGGCGGCGUGCCUCAGACAUGCAAGUCGAACGAUUAAAGCUCCCUUCGGGGAGUGCAUAAAGUGGCGCACGGGUGAGUGACACGUAAGUAAUCUACCUUCGAGUGGGAAUAACAGUCGGAAACGACUGCUAAUACCGCAUAACGCAGCGGCAUCGCAAGAUGACAGUUGUUAAAGGAGCAAUCCGCUUGAAGAGGAGCUUGCGGCAGAUUAGCUAGUUGGUAAGGUAAUGGCUUACCAAGGCUACGAUCUGUAUCCGGUNUAAGAGGACGGUCGGACACACUGACACUGAAUAACGGGUCAGACUCCUACGGGAGGCAGCAGUCGGGAAUUUUGGGCAAUGGGGGAAACCCUGACCCAGCAACGCCGCGUGAAGGAUGAAGUAUUUCGGUAUGUAAACUUCGAAAGAAUGGGCCAGA
This 446-nucleotide ribosomal RNA is filed under the name uncultured bacterium Riz1049. Its description in RNAcentral is "bacterial SSU rRNA". It matches the Rfam family "Bacterial small subunit ribosomal RNA", at positions 8 to 449 of the family's 1533-position model. The record is from RNAcentral.